GCGUGACUAUUAAAACAAUAUUAUUUUUGUAAACCCGGUCAGGUCUGGAAGGAAGCAGCCGUAACAAAGAUAAUAUGUGUAAAAAAUAGUUACGUCAU
Molecule: signal recognition particle RNA, 98 nt
Filed under: Enterobacteriaceae endosymbiont of Plateumaris braccata
Lineage: Bacteria; Pseudomonadati; Pseudomonadota; Gammaproteobacteria; Enterobacterales; Enterobacteriaceae
Description: signal recognition particle sRNA small type
Rfam family: Bacterial small signal recognition particle RNA
About the family: The signal recognition particle (SRP) is a universally conserved ribonucleoprotein involved in the co-translational targeting of proteins to membranes.
Source: RNAcentral